Molecule: ribosomal RNA, 455 nt
Filed under: uncultured bacterium
Lineage: Bacteria
Description: bacterial SSU rRNA
Rfam family: Bacterial small subunit ribosomal RNA
Source: RNAcentral
UACGGAAGGCAGCAGUGGGGAAUAUUGCACAAUGGGCGCAAGCCUGAUGCAGCCAUGCCGCGUGUAUGAAAAAGGCCUUCGGGUUGUAAAGUACUUUUCAGUCGUGAGGAAGGUGUUAAGGUUAAUAACCUUAGCAAUUGACGUUAGCGACAGAAGAAGCACCGACUAACUCCGUGCCAGCAGCCGCGGUAAUACGGAGGGUGCGAGCGUUAAUCGGAAUUACUGGGCGUAAAGGGCACGCAGGCGGUUAAUUAAGUUGGAUGUGAAAUCCCCGGGCUUAACCUGGGAAUGGCAUUCAAGACUGGUUAGCUAGAGUCUUGUAGAGGGGGUAGAAUUCCAUGUGUAGCGGUGAAAUGCGUAGAGAUGUGGAGGAAUACCGGUGGCGAAGGCGGCCCCUGGACAAAGGCUGACGCUCAUGUGCGAAAGCGUGGGGAGCAAACAGGGAUUAGAUACCC